AGGCCUGGAGUACAGCUCAGUGGUAGAGCCCUUGCUGGCACAUUUGAAGGCUCUGGGAUCAAUUCCCAGUACCGCACUACAAGGCACAGGGAAUGGUACAGAAGAGAUAACAUUUUAAAGUUAUUCUUGGCACAUUCCUUCACACACAGCACAGAUUCUACAGGAGGAAUAUCUAGUCUCUCUACCCAAAGCUCCGUCUAAGAUGGUGAAGACUAAGGACACCGCAAGAGACUAGUUUGGCUUUUGCUUCAGAACCUGGACCAGAGUCGGUUUACGUGGUUCCAGGGGUGCUAGGAGACUUGACUUUGGAGCAACUCCUCCUGAGAGCGGGAGACCCGGUGCUGUGUGCCCUCAGAAUUGCUGAAGAAACCCGCAGUCACAGGGAAGAGGUAGAGUUGCUGAGCCAUUGCCACACAACACAGGCAGACAAAAUGGCGACACUGCCGGGAGAAGGUGCUCUGCGACGCGCUCUCUACAGCUGAACUACAAUUCCCAGAACUCUCUGCGCGGGGGGCGGGAGGCAUUCUUCGACGUUGCGGGUAGAGAACCCCGUGCCCCUCCCCCUUCCCGCAGAAGAUUUCCAGCAGACGUUGCCUCUUCGGUACGGUGCCUCGCCUUUCCCCGCUUUUCCCCCGCAGUGCCCGACGGGACUCGGGGUUUUUCGACUUCGCUACCGAACGUCCCUUGCGCCUAAAAAAAAAAAAAAAAAAAAA
This is a non-coding RNA of Cricetulus griseus (Chinese hamster), 713 nucleotides long. The record is from RefSeq and is a predicted model, not a curated record. NCBI's taxonomy places the organism in Eukaryota, Metazoa, Chordata, Mammalia, Rodentia, Cricetidae.